AGCGAACGCUGGCGGCAUGCCUAACACAUGCAAGUCGAACGAAGGCUUCGGCCUUAGUGGCGCACGGGUGCGUAACGCGUGGGAAUCUGCCCCUCGGUUCGGAAUAACAGUUAGAAAUGACUGCUAAUACCGGAUGAUGACUUCGGUCCAAAGAUUUAUCGCCGAGGGAUGAGCCCGCGUAAGAUUAGGUAGUUGGUGGGGUAAAGGCCUACCAAGCCGACGAUCUUUAGCUGGUCUGAGAGGAUGAUCAGCCACACUGGGACUGAGACACGGCCCAGACUCCUAAGGGAGGCAGCAGUGGGGAAUAUUGGACAAUGGGCGAAAGCCUGAUCCAGCAAUGCCGCGUGAGGGAUGAAGGCCUUAGGGUUGUAAAGCUCUUUUACCAGGGAUGAUAAUGACAGUACCUGGAGAAUAAGCACCGGCUAACUACGUGCCAGCCGCCGCCGUAA
Molecule: ribosomal RNA, 449 nt
Filed under: uncultured bacterium
Lineage: Bacteria
Description: partial 16S ribosomal RNA
Rfam family: Bacterial small subunit ribosomal RNA
Source: RNAcentral